GAUGAACGCUGGCGGCGUGCCUAAUACAUGCAAGUCGAGCGGACGGACGAGAAGCUUGCUUCUCUGAUGUUAGCGGCGGACGGGUGAGUAACACGUGGAUAACCGACCUAGAAGACUGGGAUAAGGUCGGGAACCGGAGCUAAUACCGGAUAAUAUGUUGAACCGCAUGGUUCAAAAGUGAAAGACGGUCUUGCUGUCACUUAGAGAUGGAUCCGCGCUGCAUUAGCUAGUUGGUAAGGUAACGGCUUACCAAGGCAACGAUGCAUAGCCGACCUGAGAGGAUGAUCGGCCACACUGGAACUGAGACACGGUCCAGACUCCUACGGGAGGCAGCAGUAGGGAAUCUUCCGCAAUGGGCGAAAGCCUGACGGAGCAACGCCGCGUGAGUGAUGAAGGUCUUCGGAUCGUAAAACUCUGUUAUUAGGGAAGAACAUAUGUGUAAGUAACUGUGCACAUCUUGACGGUACCUACUCAGAAAGCCACGGCUAACUACGUG
RNAcentral lists this ribosomal RNA (496 nucleotides) under uncultured bacterium. RNAcentral's name for it is "partial 16S ribosomal RNA". It matches the Rfam family "Bacterial small subunit ribosomal RNA", at positions 28 to 507 of the family's 1533-position model. The record is from RNAcentral.